RNAcentral lists this ribosomal RNA (250 nucleotides) under uncultured bacterium. RNAcentral's name for it is "partial 16S ribosomal RNA". It matches the Rfam family "Bacterial small subunit ribosomal RNA", at positions 524 to 773 of the family's 1533-position model. The record is from RNAcentral.
UACGUAGGGUGCAAGCGUUGUUCGGAAUCAUUGGGCGUAAAGCGCGUGUAGGCGGUCAGUUAAGUUGGGUGUGAAAUCCCUGGGCUCAACCGAGGAAGGGCAUCCAAAACUAGCUGGCUGGAAGAUGGUAGAGGAAGGUGGAAUUCCAAGUGUAGAGGUGAAAUUCGUAGAUAUUUGGAGGAAUACCGGUGGCGAAGGCGGCCUUCUGGACCAUUCUUGACGCUGAGACGCGAAAGCGUGGGGAGCAAAC